GAAUUUUGAAGUAUGGUACAAGAGCUGGAUCAAGACCUUUAGCAGUGCACGGCCAACCUGUCCUGAUGUACGCCCUCACCUGUUGUAGAAUAAGACAGUCUUUACAUGCAGCAGUCAGCUCUUCCAUGUCUUGCGGACCACCUAGCAAUUCUCAUGCCUGCUCUCCCAAGGCCCUUUGUGGUGAGCAGCGUUGUCAGAGGACUGUGAUCAGUGCGAAGAGUAAAAUGUCUACCCCACAGAGCACGGAGUGGUUCCACCACCACAGCGUAGCGUGGAACAAACUUGGAGUAAAAGGAGGUGAGCCCCAGGAAUGAGCGUAGCGUAGGA
Molecule: long non-coding RNA, 327 nt
Organism: Clupea harengus (Atlantic herring)
Lineage: Eukaryota; Metazoa; Chordata; Actinopteri; Clupeiformes; Clupeidae
Source: Ensembl